This 521-nucleotide ribosomal RNA is filed under the name uncultured Glomus. RNAcentral describes it as "SSU rRNA". It matches the Rfam family "Eukaryotic small subunit ribosomal RNA", at positions 569 to 1092 of the family's 1831-position model. The record is from RNAcentral. Lineage: Eukaryota; Fungi; Glomeromycota; Glomeromycetes; Glomerales; Glomeraceae.
AGCAGCCGCGGUAAUUCCAGCUCCAAUAGCGUAUAUUAAAGUUGCUGCAGUUAAAAAGCUCGUAGUUGAAUUUCGGGACCAUCAUGUCGGUCGUGUCUCGGUACGUACUGGCAUCGUUGGUUUCUCCCUUCUGACGAACCAUGAUGUCAUUAAUUUGGUGUCAUGGGGAAUCAGGACUGUUACUUUGAAAAAAUUAGAGUGUUUAAAGCAGGCUCACGCUUGAAUACAUUAGCAUGGAAUAAUGAAAUAGGACGUUUGAUUCUAUUUUGUUGGUUUCUAGGAUCGACGUAAUGAUUAAUAGGGAUAGUUGGGGGCAUUAGUAUUCAAUUGUCAGAGGUGAAAUUCUUGGAUUUAUUGAAGACUAACUACUGCGAAAGCAUUUGCCAAGGAUGUUUUCAUUAAUCAAGAACGAAAGUUAGGGGAUCGAAGACGAUCAGAUACCGUCGUAGUCUUAACCAUAAACUAUGCCGACUAGGGAUCGGAUGAUGUUAAUUUUUUAAUGACUCAUUCGGCGCCUUACG